This 424-nucleotide ribosomal RNA is filed under the name uncultured bacterium. RNAcentral's name for it is "bacterial SSU rRNA". It matches the Rfam family "Bacterial small subunit ribosomal RNA", at positions 358 to 773 of the family's 1533-position model. The record is from RNAcentral.
GGAAUUGUUCGCAAUGGGCGCAAGCCUGACGACGCAAUGCCGCGUGGAAGAUGAAGAAUUUCGGUUCGUAAACUCCUUUCGCCCGAGAUGAAUGUCUGCCGACCCAAUACGUCGGCAGGGUGACAGUAUCGCGGGAAGAAGCCACGGCUAACUCCGUGCCAGCAGCCGCGGUAAUACGGGGGGGGCGAGCGUUGUUCGGAAUUACUGGGCGUAAAGGGUUCGUAGGUGGCCUUCUAAGUCGAAUGUGAAAUCCCUCGGCUCAACUGAGGAACUGCAUUUGAUACUGGAAGGCUUGAGUGCAGGAGAGGAACGCGGAAUUCCAGGUGUAGCGGUGAAAUGCGUAGAUAUCUGGAGGAACACCGGUGGCGAAGGCGGCGUUCUGGACUGCAACUGACACUGAGGAACGAAAGCCAGGGGAGCAAAC